Molecule: long non-coding RNA, 851 nt
Filed under: Homo sapiens (human)
Lineage: Eukaryota; Metazoa; Chordata; Mammalia; Primates; Hominidae
Description: long intergenic non-protein coding RNA 1322
Source: RNAcentral
AGAGAUGGGUUUCUGGACUCGCGAAGCAGCUGCAACAAGGCAUCACUCACUGUAUAAGUAUUUCCAUUUCUGAGAGCAAAAGGAAGAACUUAAGCGGGCGGCACUUGGAGUGUAAAUUGCUUUGUAGUAUUUAAAGGCAGAAUGGAUCCUGGGCAGCCGAGCUGCAACAAACCGGCAGGACUUCCUGUGAAAUCAUGACCACCAUGUGCUCUUUCAGCCUCUAUCAGUUCCUACCUCUAAGCACCUGAGAGCCAAAGCAAACCACAGGAAACCACAGGCCUUUGGAGUCAGACUGGAACUACAGCAUUGACUCUUCCGGAACUCCAGCUUACUGACUACAGAUCUUGGAACUUUUCAGCUUCCACAACCAUGCUUUGGUAUCAGGAUGAUGCUGGCCUCAUAAAAUGAGUCAGGGAGGAUUCCCUCUUUUUCUAUUGAUUGGAAUAGUUUCAGAAGGAAUGGUACCAGCUCCUCUUUGUACCUCUGGUAGAAUUCAGCUGUGAAUCCAUCUGGUCCUGGAGUUUUUUUGGUUGAAUGAAAGCCAAGCAUAUUCCAUCAUUUCCUAAAACCAAGAUAGAGCACAUAUGGGAACUUGUGAAAUAAGGAUGCCCUGCGGUUGUUUUCAGGACUGAAGACAACAGCUCCACGAUGUAUCUUUGCAUAAGAAUACACUUGUAUAAUAAGUUUUUUUUUUUAGAGAAAUUGCAUGUAUCUGCCUUAUAAACUUUUUCAUUCAUUCAUUUUCUUUCUUCCUAAUCUGUUCCAUAAAGCAAAUUUCUAACUUAUUGUUAAUCAAAAUAAUUAUUGAAAUAAUUAGUACUUUCAUAUGAUAAAGAUUAUUUUAAUCUGCA